UUGGAGGGCAAGUCUGGUGCCAGCAGCCGCGGUAAUUCCAUCGCUCAUAGCGUAUAUUAAGUUGUUGCAGUUAAAAAGCUCGUAGUUGAAUUUCGGGAUUAAUUUAUUGGUCGUGCUUUUGUACGUACUGGUUUUAUUGAUUCCUACCUUCUGACGAACCAUGAUGUCAUUAAUUUGGUGUCUUGGGGAAUCAGGACUGUUACUUUGAAAAAAUUAGAGUGUUUAAAGCAGG
RNAcentral lists this ribosomal RNA (232 nucleotides) under uncultured Glomeraceae. RNAcentral's name for it is "partial 18S ribosomal RNA". It matches the Rfam family "Eukaryotic small subunit ribosomal RNA", at positions 548 to 784 of the family's 1831-position model. Lineage: Eukaryota; Fungi; Glomeromycota; Glomeromycetes; Glomerales; Glomeraceae. The record is from RNAcentral.